This 389-nucleotide ribosomal RNA is filed under the name uncultured bacterium. RNAcentral describes it as "bacterial SSU rRNA". It matches the Rfam family "Bacterial small subunit ribosomal RNA", at positions 30 to 420 of the family's 1533-position model. The record is from RNAcentral.
AUUGAACGCUGGCGGCAUGCCUUACACAUGCAAGUCGAACGGCAGCACGGGAGCAAUCCUGGUGGCGAGUGGCGAACGGGUGAGUAAUGUAUCGGAACGUACCUUUCAGUGGGGGAUAACGUAGCGAAAGUUACGCUAAUACCGCAUAUUCUGUGAGCAGGAAAGCAGGGGAUCGCAAGACCUUGCGCUGAUUGAGCGGCCGAUAUCAGAUUAGCUAGUUGGUGAGGUAAAGGCUCACCAAGGCGACGAUCUGUAGCGGGUCUGAGAGGAUGAUCCGCCACACUGGAACUGAGACACGGUCCAGACUCCUACGGAGGCAGCAGUGGGGAAUUUUGGACAAUGGGCGCAAGCCUGAUCCAGCCAUGCCGCGUGAGUGAAGAAGGCCUCGG